This 435-nucleotide ribosomal RNA is filed under the name uncultured bacterium. RNAcentral describes it as "partial 16S ribosomal RNA". It matches the Rfam family "Bacterial small subunit ribosomal RNA", at positions 28 to 507 of the family's 1533-position model. The record is from RNAcentral.
GAUGAACGCUGGCGGUAUGCUUAACACAUGCAAGUCGAACGGACUCUUCGGAGUUAGUGGCGGACGGGUGAGUAACGCGUGAGAAUCUGGCUUUGGGUUCGGGACAACCACUGGAAACGGUGGCUAAUACCGGAUGUGCCGAGAGGUAAAAGAGAAAUUGCCUGAAGAUGAGCUCGCGUCUGAUUAGCUAGUUGGUGAGGUAAAGGCUCACCAAGGCAGCGAUCAGUAGCUGGUCUGAGAGGAUGACCAGCCACACUGGGACUGAGACGCGGCCCCGACGCCUACGGGAGGCAGCAGUGGGGAAGUAUCCGCAAUGGGCGAAAGCCUGACGGAGCAAUACCGCGUGAGGGAAGAAGGCUCUUGGGUUGUAAACCUCUUUUCUUAGGGAAGAACAAAAUGACGGUACCGAAGGAAUCAGCACCGGCUAACUCCGUG